UCAUGGGCGCGAGCCUGAACCAGCCAAGUAGCGUGAAGGAUGAAGGCUCUAUGGGUCGUAAACUUCUUUUAUAUGGGAAUAAAGUAUUCCACGUGUGGAAUUUUGUAUGUACCAUAUGAAUAAGGAUCGGCUAACUCCGUGCCAGCAGCCGCGGUAAUACGGAGGAUCCGAGCGUUAUCCGGAUUUAUUGGGUUUAAAGGGAGCGUAGAUGGAUGUUUAAGUCAGUUGUGAAAGUUUGCGGCUCAACCGUAAAAUUGCAGUUGAUACUGGAUAUCUUGAGUGCAGUUGAGGCAGGCGGAAUUCGUGGUGUAGCGGUGAAAUGCUUAGAUAUCACGAAGAACUCCGAUUGCGAAGGCAGCCUGCUAAGCUGCAACUGACAUUGAGGCUCGAAAGUGUGGGUAUCAAACAGGAUUAGAUACCCUGGUAGUCCAAGGGCGAAUUC
This 442-nucleotide ribosomal RNA is filed under the name uncultured bacterium. RNAcentral's name for it is "SSU rRNA". It matches the Rfam family "Bacterial small subunit ribosomal RNA", at positions 369 to 808 of the family's 1533-position model. The record is from RNAcentral.